Pelobates cultripes (western spadefoot toad) is the source of this 213-nucleotide non-coding RNA. Lineage: Eukaryota; Metazoa; Chordata; Amphibia; Anura; Pelobatidae. The record is from the annotation of a GenBank genome assembly.
AUGUGUUAAUGUGCUGUUAUAAUCUCAGAUUGGCCAAUUUCUUAAUAGUAGUAGUUGGUUUCCAGGCCACAUAUAGCCAUUUUAUUACAUGGUUAGAGAUGGCACUCCAGCUGUUUGCUACCCAACACGCUUAGCCAGUGGACCAUCUAAUCUCUUCACUGCCGCAGUGUAGUGAAAUUAAAGGAACAUUAUAGUAUUGGGCAUUAAAAAUUG